UACGUAGGGGGCUAGCGUUGUCCGGAAUCAUUGGGCGUAAAGCGCGUGUAGGCGGUCCGGUAAGUCCGCUGUGAAAGUCGGGGGCUCAACCCUCGGAUGCCGGUGGAUACUGUCGGGCUUGAGUACGGAAGAGGCGAGUGGAAUUCCUGGUGUAGCGGUGAAAUGCGCAGAUAUCGGGAGGAACACCAAUGGCGAAGGCAGCUCGCUGGGACGUUACUGACGCUGAGACGCGAGAGCGUGGGGAGCAAACAGG
RNAcentral lists this ribosomal RNA (253 nucleotides) under uncultured bacterium. RNAcentral's name for it is "partial 16S ribosomal RNA". It matches the Rfam family "Bacterial small subunit ribosomal RNA", at positions 524 to 776 of the family's 1533-position model. The record is from RNAcentral.